Molecule: ribosomal RNA, 300 nt
Filed under: uncultured Lactobacillus sp.
Lineage: Bacteria; Bacillati; Bacillota; Bacilli; Lactobacillales; Lactobacillaceae
Description: bacterial SSU rRNA
Rfam family: Bacterial small subunit ribosomal RNA
Source: RNAcentral
GGUAACGCCGGGCCAGCGGCCGGGGGAAGACGGGGGGUCCGGGCGGUAAUCGGAAUGACUGGGCGUAAAGUGUUGGCAGGCGGUUUGUUAAGCGAGAUGUGAAAGCCCUGGGCUCAACCUAGGAAUAGCAUUUCGAACUGGCGAACUAGAGUCUUGUAGAGGGGGGUAGAAUUCCAGGUGUAGCGGUGAAAUGCGUAGAGAUCUGGAGGAAUACCGGUGGCGAAGGCGGCCCCCUGGACAAAGACUGACGCUCAUGCACGAAAGCGUGGGGAGCAAACAGGAUUAGAUACCCCAGUAGUC